Long non-coding RNA from Vigna angularis (adzuki bean), 1013 nucleotides. RefSeq lists it as uncharacterized. The record is from RefSeq and is a predicted model, not a curated record. Lineage: Eukaryota; Viridiplantae; Streptophyta; Magnoliopsida; Fabales; Fabaceae. The transcript is spliced from 6 exons.
UUCAUUUUCAAUCUUCGCGUCUUCUCUUCUCCUUUUUUCCUUCUCCACGUCGUACUUUUUCUUCUCUUUCUCCACGUCGCGCCUCUCAAUUUCUCUUUCCUUCCUCACUUUUCCUUUUUCACCUCUCCACGUCGCGUUUUGCUUCUCUAGCGGCGUGAGGCCAUGACUGUAGUACGAUUUCGAUGCGAUGAAGGUAGCUGGCUCGUGAAGAAGAUGCAGACAGUGAGGUGUUGAUGGUUGCACGAAUCUAGCUCGUGGUCUGAUUUGGGGCUUUUCUGAUUUAGUACAAAUAGAUAAAUAUAAUAAACAACCGAAGAGCUUGGUCUUCAUUCACUCUGUCAACGUCACUGAGAUUUGAAUGUGAGCAAACCCUUCUCAUUCAAUGGCUUGAUUCAUGGAAAAGAAAUUCUGAGUCAGCUUCGUGAACUAAUAAAGUUGGAGCUGGACUUGUUUCAUGGAGAAGUAGAUGCUGCUGAACCACAAAAGCAAUUUGAAAAUUUGUCUACAGGUUUUGAACGUGACAUAGAGACUAAUAUGUUUCCUUCAUAUGAGAUAAACAAACCUUAUCGCCCAUUGGCAUCAGGGGAUUAUUCUUUUGGAACUGGUCUCAUUCUCAUGUUUGAUUCUGGUAUGAGACAUUUGAAAUUCUUGGAGAAAAAUUGCUUUCAUGUUAAUAAAAGCUCCAUGGUUAUCACUUUUGGUUGAUUUUGAGGACGAAGAAGUAGAUAUUGGCUCCAUGCAUGUAUCAGAAAAGUAUGCACUUUUACUUUGUUCUCAAUACUUAAAGAUUUGAGGUGCAACUUUUGUCGCAAAUGAAUUAAAUGGAGCUGAGCAGUUUUGGUGGUGUAGUUCAAGUAUAAAGCAACAUUUUGAAUGUGUUGUUUUAUGGCUAGAACGAGAAUUGCAGUAGAUAUUGGAUUCUGUGAAUUUGGCGUAGGUUUUGUAUUGAAAUUAAUAAUUGUUAAGAACAUAUCUUGUUUUUAAUUUUUAUUUGAACAAUGUGAUUUCUUAUU